UAAAACCUCGAACAUUUUUGGGUACUAAGUAUUGAGAUGCUUUAGAGUUCAUUAUUCAUAAUUAUGACCAGUUAUAGAAGAUGGGCAUUAUACACAACACGGGGUUGAGUUUGUGACCUUUCUAUUAUAGAAGGAUUCUAAAUAAUGAGAGAGUGAGUAUGUUGAAUGUUAUUCAUCAGCUUUACCUUUAUUGAGUAAGUAAUAUCUUCAUGCUUUGUUCUUAGAGAAGUAUGUGCCAC
This 239-nucleotide long non-coding RNA is filed under the name Capsicum annuum. RNAcentral's name for it is "long non-coding RNA (CANN_LNC001101)". Lineage: Eukaryota; Viridiplantae; Streptophyta; Magnoliopsida; Solanales; Solanaceae. The record is from RNAcentral.